Molecule: signal recognition particle RNA, 262 nt
Filed under: Lachnospiraceae bacterium
Lineage: Bacteria; Bacillati; Bacillota; Clostridia; Lachnospirales; Lachnospiraceae
Also listed under: 1 other name
Description: signal recognition particle sRNA large type
Rfam family: Bacterial large signal recognition particle RNA
About the family: The signal recognition particle (SRP) is a universally conserved ribonucleoprotein involved in the co-translational targeting of proteins to membranes. Archaeal SRP consists of a 7S RNA and homologues of the eukaryotic SRP19 and SRP54 proteins. In most bacteria, the SRP consists of a 4.5S RNA and the Ffh protein (a homologue of the eukaryotic SRP54 protein).
Source: RNAcentral
CCGCGCAGCCGGGGAGACAGCGGUGCCCUGUACCCACAAUCCGCUAUAGUGGGGGUGAUAUUCUGCCUAGGGUAAUUUCUUGUGAGGCUGCCCUCUGUAAGUGGCGUUGACGUUUCGGUCUUACGCAAUAGGAGCUUGUGAACCGUGUCAGGUUGGGAACAAAGCAGCACUAAGCAAGAAUUCUUAUGUGAUGUAAGGUCGCCGGGACUGAGUUAACUGCAGAGGUAACGCUUAUGAGGGUUAUUCGAAGCAGAAUGCGUGG